Molecule: long non-coding RNA, 452 nt
Organism: Peromyscus eremicus (cactus mouse)
Lineage: Eukaryota; Metazoa; Chordata; Mammalia; Rodentia; Cricetidae
Exons: 3
Source: RefSeq, a predicted model, not a curated record
GAAACUCCUGAAUUAGUCCUCCAAAAUACCUGUCAACUAGCUAGUUAUAAGCAGGAUAUAUUGAAAGAUAAGCCUUUCUGUUUCAGACAUCCUGUUGAAGUUCUUUAUAUCCACUAAUUCACAAAAUUGCUAGAAGAAUUCAGUAUGGCAAGAAGUUGGAGGAACUGGAGGUCCACCUAAGAGCAGUGACUGAAGUUCCAGGAGCAUCAUAUUCAUCUCCUGGAUAAAUUGCAGGAUAAGAGACUUUUGGGACCAGUGAGAUGGCUCAGUGGAUAAAGGUGCUUGCUCCCAAACCUGAAAACCUGAUUUAAUCCCUGGGACCUACAUGGAGGAAGGAAGAAAAGAACUGAUUCCUGCAAGCCGUCCUCUGACAUCCACACAUGUCCUGUGGCACACAUGCCCCCUGUUCCUGCCCCCAAUAAAUAAAUAACAUCUAAUUUAAAAAACUGAAA